This 789-nucleotide ribosomal RNA is filed under the name uncultured bacterium. RNAcentral's name for it is "bacterial SSU rRNA". It matches the Rfam family "Bacterial small subunit ribosomal RNA", at positions 62 to 833 of the family's 1533-position model. The record is from RNAcentral.
UCGAACGCGAAAAGGGCUUCGGCUCUUAGUAGAGUGGCGAACGGGUGAGUAACACGUGGGUGACCUACCUUCGAAUGGGGGAUAACGUCCCGAAAGGGACGCUAAUACCGCAUAACAUCCUGCUUUUGAACAGGUGGAGAUCAAAGCCGGGGAUCGCAAGACCUGGCGUUUGAAGAGGGGCCCGCGUCUGAUUAGCUAGUUGGUGAGGUAACGGCCCACCAAGGCGACGAUCAGUAUCCGGCCUGAGAGGGCGGACGGACACACUGGGACUGAGACACGGCCCAGACUCCUACGGGAGGCAGCAGUGGGGAAUUGUUCGCAAUGGGCGCAAGCCUGACGACGCAACGCCGCGUGGAGGAUGAAGGUCUUCGGAUUGUAAACUCCUGUUGCUCGGGACGAAAAGCUUCGACCUAACACGUCGAAGUCUGACGGUACCGGGUGAGGAAGCCCCGGCUAACUCUGUGCCAGCAGCCGCGGUAAUACAGAGGGGGCAAGCGUUGUUCGGAAUUACUGGGCGUAAAGGGCGCGUAGGCGGCCCGCUAAGUCGAACGUGAAAUCCCCGGGCUCAACCCGGGAACUGCGUCCGAUACUGGCAGGCUUGAAUCCGGGAGAGGGAUGCGGAAUUCCAGGUGUAGCGGUGAAAUGCGUAGAUAUCUGGAGGAACACCGGUGGCGAAGGCGGCAUCCUGGACCGGCAUUGACGCUGAGGCGCGAAAGCCAGGGGAGCAAACGGGAUUAGAUACCCCGGUAGUCCUGGCCCUAACGAUGAAUGCUUGGGUGUGGCGGGUAU